GAUGAAGAACGUAGCGAAAUGCGAUAAGUAGUGUGAAUUGCAGAAUUCAGUGAAUCAUCGAAUCUUUGAACGCACAUUGCGCCCCUUCGUAUUCCAUGGGGCAUGCCUGUUCGAGCGUCAUUUGUACCUUCAAGCUCUGCUUGGUGUUGGGUGUUUGUCUCGCCUCUGCGUGUAGACUCGCCUCAAAACAAUUGGCAGCCGGCGUAUUGAUUUCGGAGCGCAGUACAUCUCGCGCUUUGCACUCAUAACGACGACGUCCAAAAGUACAUUUUUACACUCUUGACCUCGGAUCAGGUAGGGAUACCCGCUGAACUUAAGCAUAUCAAUAAGCGGAGGA
This 337-nucleotide unclassified non-coding RNA is filed under the name soil metagenome. RNAcentral describes it as "partial contains 5.8S ribosomal RNA, internal transcribed spacer 2, and large subunit ribosomal RNA". The stretch from base 1 to 120 matches the Rfam family "5.8S ribosomal RNA", at positions 35 to 154 of the family's 154-position model. The record is from RNAcentral.